UACGUAGGGGGCGAGCGUUGUCCGGAUUUAUUGGGCGUAAAGGGUCCGGAGGCGGUCGUUGAAGUUUCGCGUGACAGUCCUCGGCUUAACUGAGGAAGGAUGCGGAAAACUGAGCGACUUGAGGGCGUAAGAGGAAAGCGGAAUUCCGGGUGGAGUGGUGAAAUGCGUAGAUAUCGUAAGGAAGACCAGUGGCGAAGGCGGGUCUCUGGACAGAUCCUGACACUGAGGCACGAAGGCCAGGGGAGCAAACGGG
RNAcentral lists this ribosomal RNA (253 nucleotides) under uncultured prokaryote. Its description in RNAcentral is "partial 16S ribosomal RNA". It matches the Rfam family "Bacterial small subunit ribosomal RNA", at positions 524 to 776 of the family's 1533-position model. The record is from RNAcentral.